RNAcentral lists this transfer RNA (73 nucleotides) under Gigaspora margarita. It matches the Rfam family "tRNA". From Rfam's summary of the family: Transfer RNA (tRNA) molecules are approximately 80 nucleotides in length. Their secondary structure includes four short double-helical elements and three loops (D, anti-codon, and T loops). Further hydrogen bonds mediate the characteristic L-shaped molecular structure. tRNAs have two regions of fundamental functional importance: the anti-codon, which is responsible for specific mRNA codon recognition, and the 3' end, to which the tRNAs corresponding amino acid is attached (by aminoacyl-tRNA synthetases). tRNAs cope with the degeneracy of the genetic code in two manners: having more than one tRNA (with a specific anti-codon) for a particular amino acid; and 'wobble' base-pairing, i.e. permitting non-standard base-pairing at the 3rd anti-codon position. Lineage: Eukaryota; Fungi; Glomeromycota; Glomeromycetes; Diversisporales; Gigasporaceae. The record is from Rfam by way of RNAcentral. RNAcentral also lists the same sequence under 1 other name.
GGGGGUCUAGCUCAGAUGGUAGAGCGCUCGCUUAGCAUGCGAGAGGUACUGGGAUCGAUACCCAGGUCCUCCA